Molecule: non-coding RNA, 872 nt
Organism: Podarcis lilfordi (Lilford's wall lizard)
Lineage: Eukaryota; Metazoa; Chordata; Lepidosauria; Squamata; Lacertidae
Source: the annotation of a GenBank genome assembly
GUGGAGUGCCUCAGGGUGCGAUUCUCUGCCUGAUGCUCUUUAACAUCUUUAUGCGCCCCCUCGCCCAGCUUGUCCGGAGUUUUGGGCUGGGUUGCUAUCAGUAUUCCGAUGACACCCAACUCUAUCUGUUGAUGGAUGGCCAUCCUGACUCGGCCCCAGACACACUGACCAGAUGUUUGGAAGCUGUGGCCAGAUGGUUACGUGGAAGCCGGUUGAAGUUAAAUCCUUCGAAGACAGAGGUCCUCUGGCUGGGACGGGACGAUAUGGGAUUGGGGGGGCAACUCCCAUCUCUUGCGGGGGUGCAAUUAGUGCCAGCACCGUCCGUUAAGAGUUUGGGUGUAAUCUUCGAUACCUCCCUCUCUAUGGAGGCGCAGAUUACAACUAUAACAAAGGUGGCAUUUUUUCAUCUCCGCCAAGCUAAGCAGUUGGCCCCUUAUCUCUCUCGCCCUGACCUAGCCACUGUGAUCCACGCGACGGUCACCUCCAGACUGGAUUAUUGUAUCUCGCUCUACGUGGGGCUGCCCUUGAGACUGACCCAGAAACUCUAGCGGGUGCAGAAUGCCGCGGCGAGACUCCUUAUGGGGUCUUCGCUGCAAGAUCACAUUCAUCCGGUACUAUACCAGCUGCACUGGCUCCCGGUGAAGUACAGGAUCAGGUUUAAGGUGCUGGUUUUAACCUUUAAAGCCCUAUACGGCCUAGGACCCUCGUACCUACGGGACCGCCUCUCCUGGUAUGCCCCACAGAGGAACCUACGGUCAGCAAAUAAAAACAUCCUGAAGGUCCCAGGCCUCAGAGAGGUUAGGCUGGCCUCAACUAGAGCCAGGGCUUUCUCGGCUGCGGCUCCAAUCUGGUGGAACGCUCUGUCACAAGAG